This 996-nucleotide ribosomal RNA is filed under the name uncultured bacterium. RNAcentral describes it as "bacterial SSU rRNA". It matches the Rfam family "Bacterial small subunit ribosomal RNA", at positions 356 to 1376 of the family's 1533-position model. The record is from RNAcentral. RNAcentral also lists the same sequence under 1 other name.
GGGGGAUAUUGCACAAUGGGGGAAACCCUGAUGCAGCGACGCCGCGUGGAGGAAGAAGGUUUUCGGAUUGUAAACUCCUGUCGUUAGGGACGAUAAUGACGGUACCUAACAAGAAAGCACCGGCUAACUACGUGCCAGCAGCCGCGGUAAAACGUAGGGUGCAAGCGUUGUCCGGAAUUACUGGGUGUAAAGGGAGCGCAGGCGGGAAGACAAGUUGGAAGUGAAAACCAUGGGCUCAACCCAUGAAUUGCUUUCAAAACUGUUUUUCUUGAGUAGUGCAGAGGUAGAUGGAAUUCCCGGUGUAGCGGUGGAAUGCGUAGAUAUCGGGAGGAACACCAGUGGCGAAGGCGGUCUACUGGGCACCAACUGACGCUGAGGCUCGAAAGCAUGGGUAGCAAACAGGAUUAGAUACCCUGGUAGUCCAUGCCGUAAACGAUGAUUACUAGGUGUUGGGGGAUUGACCCCCUCAGUGCCGCAGUUAACACAAUAAGUAAUCCACCUGGGGAGUACGACCGCAAGGUUGAAACUCAAAGGAAUUGACGGGGGCCCGCACAAGCAGUGGAGUAUGUGGUUUAAUUCGAAGCAACGCGAAGAACCUUACCAGGUCUUGACAUCCGAUGCAUAGCACAGAGAUGUGUGAAAUCCUUCGGGACAUCGAGACAGGUGGUGCAUGGUUGUCGUCAGCUCGUGUCGUGAGAUGUUGGGUUAAGUCCCGCAACGAGCGCAACCCUUACUGUCAGUUACUACGCAAGAGGACUCUGGCAGGACUGCCGUUGACAAAACGGAGGAAGGUGGGGAUGACGUCAAAUCAUCAUGCCCUUUAUGACUUGGGCUACACACGUACUACAAUGGCGCUAAACAAAGAGAAGCAAGACCGCGAGGUGGAGCAAAACUCAGAAACAACGUCCCAGUUCGGACUGCAGGCUGCAACUCGCCUGCACGAAGUCGGAAUUGCUAGUAAUCGUGGAUCAGCAUGCCACGGUGAAUACGUUCCCG